Molecule: long non-coding RNA, 223 nt
Filed under: Homo sapiens (human)
Lineage: Eukaryota; Metazoa; Chordata; Mammalia; Primates; Hominidae
Description: HSALNT0249996
Source: RNAcentral
CACAGUUGUAUUCCAGUGACCAUGAAGAAAGUGGUAAAGCCAAAAACUGGGAGGAAGGAGAGCUCCUGAGAGGUCAGCGUGGCUGAUCAGGGAAGGCUGACAGCAGGAAGAGGGGAGAUGCUCCUAAGAACAGUUUGAACACACCGAUGCAUAAACAAACCUCCCUUCCGGAAGUAGGAAGAACUCGAGCCACACAAGGUGACAGUGAAAAAGACAAGCAAAU